GGAUUACAGACUCUGGCUGCGACAUCUGUCACCCCAGUGAUCACCAGUGUUGAUUCGGGUGAUCUGGCUGGCUAGCCGGGUGUCCUCUUCCUCCCUCACCACUCCAUGUGCAUCCCUCCCGAAGCUGUGCGCUCGGUCAAAGAGGACAACCACCCCGAUAUAGGAGGACUGUUUCCUCGGUCAAGAGUAUAUGAGUUGCUGCACUCAGCUGAUAGAACCUCCAAACAAACUCUCAUGUGAGAUUAUUUUUAUUAGUUAACAUAAUUUUUGAAAUAUUAUAUACAAAUAAGCAUAUUGGGUGGUCAACAUCAUUACUAAGAAAUGC
This is an unclassified non-coding RNA of Fukomys damarensis (Damara mole-rat), 325 nucleotides long. Its record names the gene 7SK. It matches the Rfam family "7SK RNA". From Rfam's summary of the family: 7SK was discovered as an abundant small nuclear RNA in the mid-70s but a possible function has only recently been suggested. Two independent studies have found that 7SK RNA binds the CDK9/cyclin T complex (known as elongation factor P-TEFb). The record is from Ensembl. NCBI's taxonomy places the organism in Eukaryota, Metazoa, Chordata, Mammalia, Rodentia, Bathyergidae.